This 794-nucleotide long non-coding RNA is filed under the name Volvox carteri. Its description in RNAcentral is "long non-coding RNA (VCAR_LNC003246)". The record is from RNAcentral. Lineage: Eukaryota; Viridiplantae; Chlorophyta; Chlorophyceae; Chlamydomonadales; Volvocaceae.
CGGAGGGCCCAAAGGGGCGCCGCGGAGUCGACGUUAGGAGGGCCGGGGGGCCCAAAGGGGUGUCGCGGGGUCGACGUUAGGAAGGCCGGGGGGCCCAAAGGGGUGUCGCGGAGUCGACGUAAGGAAGGCCGGGGGGCCCAAAGGGGUGUCGCGGGGUCGACGUUAGGAAGGCCGGAGGGCCCAAAGGGGUGUCGCGGAGUCGACGCUAGGAAGGCCGGAGGGCCCAAAGGGGUGUCGCGGAGUCGACGUUAGGAAGGCCGGAGGGCCCAAAGGGGUGUCGCGGAGUCGACGUUAGGAAGGCCGGAGGGCCCAAAGGGAUGUCGCGGAGUCGACGCUAGGAAGGCCGGAGGGCCCAAAGGGGUGUCGCGGAGUCGACGUUAGGAGGGCCGGAGGGCCCAAAGGGUGUUGCGGAGUCGACGUUAGGAAGGCCGGAGGCCCCAAAGGGGUGUCGCGGAGUCGACGUUAGGAGGGCCGGAGGGCCCAAAGGAGGGUUGCGGAGUCGACGUUAGGAAGGCCGGAGGCCCCAAAGGGGUGUCGCGGAGUCGACGUUAGGAGGGCCGGAGGGCCCAAAGGAGGGUUGCGGAGUCGACGUUAGGAAGGCCGGAGGGCCCAAAGGAGGGUUGCGGAGUCGACGUUAGGAAGGCCGGAGGGCCCAAAGGGGCGCCGCGGAGUCGGUGUUCGGAUCGCCGGAGGACCCAAGGUAGGGUGGCACGGAGUUGAUGCUAGGAAGGCCGGAGAGCCCAAGCUGGAGUAUUGCGAGGUCGAAUUUAGUAGACCGGAGUGUUUGGGGGAAA